AUAUAUGGCCAUGCUACCCUGAACAAGCCCAAUCCUGUCUGGUCUCGGAAGCUAAGCAAGAUCGGGCCUGGUUAGUACUUGGAUGGGAGACCACCUAUGAAGACCAGGGCUGUAAGCA
Molecule: ribosomal RNA, 118 nt
Filed under: Pteropus alecto (black flying fox)
Lineage: Eukaryota; Metazoa; Chordata; Mammalia; Chiroptera; Pteropodidae
Source: RNAcentral